Molecule: ribosomal RNA, 368 nt
Filed under: uncultured organism
Description: bacterial LSU rRNA
Rfam family: Bacterial large subunit ribosomal RNA
Source: RNAcentral
CUUUACUGUAGCCUGGAAUUGGCUUCGGGCUUCGCUUGCGCAGGAUAGGUGGGAGGCGUUGAAAGUUCCCUUGUGGGGGGACUGGAGCCAACGGUGAGAUACCACUCUGGCGAGGCUAGAAUUCUAACCCUGACCCGUGAUCCGGGCGGGAGACAGUUUCAGGUGGGCAGUUUGACUGGGGCGGUCGCCUCCUAAAAGGUAACGGAGGCGCGCAAAGGUUCCCUCGGUCCCGUUGGAAAUGGGACGAUAGAGUGCAAAAGCAGAAGGGAGCUUGACUGUGAGACCUACAAGUCGAACAGGGACGAAAGUCGGCUUUAGUGAUCCGACGGCACCGCGUGGAAGGGCCGUCGCUCAACGGAUAAAAGUUA